CACCGCAACCGCGAAGGCCUCAUUACCGGCGUCCGCUCGCGGGCGCCAUUUCUGUAGGGGGGAACGGCAGUGCGGCCUGUGGCCAUGGCGCUGUUCCCGGCCUUUGCAGGCAUUGGUGAGGCUUCCCAUAGCGGCAGCGCCAGGAAAGAGUUAGACUGGCUGAGCAACCCAAGCUUCUGCGCCGGAGCCGCAGCCUCUCUGAGCCGGCAGGGCGGAGGCGCCACGGCCCUGCUCUCCGAGGGGUCACCGCCGACCAGGAGCCCUCUGAAGUCAGAGCCUUCGGAUGAAAGUGACGCUAACAAAAAGCCCAAACAAGCAAGCAGAAAAAAGAAGAAAGAGAAAAAGAAGAAAAGGAAGCAUCACCACAAGAAAACCAAGAGAAAACAUGGCCAGUCCAGUAGCAGUGGGUCUGAGCCGGAUAGUGAUUCUGAAAAGGACAAGACUUCCAGAAGCCUUCGAGACAGUAAGAAGGAAUCAGAGAAACCAAACCAGGAAGGGGCUGCUGCCGCCGACACUGGGCACCGCUUGGUCUGGCUUGAGGACGUCCAGGCCCUCACGGGGGAGACCUUCCGGACAGAUAAGAAACCGGAUCCUGCAAACUGGGAGUAUAAGUCUCUCUACCGAGGAGACAUAGCAAGAUACAAGAGGAAAGGAGACUCCUGCCUCGGCCUUAACCCUAAGAAGCAGUGUAUAUCCUGGGAGGGGGCCGCCACCGAGAAGAAGCAUUCACACAAGCACGUGGAGCGCUAUUUUACGAAGAAGAGCGUGGGACUGAUGAGCGUUGACGGAGUCGCCAUUUGUGGUAAAACCGAACCUCCCUCAUCUGAGCCGGUCUCGUUUAUCCCGGUGAAGGGCUCGGAUGAGGGGGCUCCUCCUGUGACGACCUGGUUGAACCCUCUGGGGAUUUACGAUCAGUCCACCACGCAGUGGUUACAAGGGCAAGGUCCUCCAGAGCAAGAAUCAAAGCAGCUGGACUCCCAGACAGACAAAGAGAGUGCCCUGCUCAAGGCCAAGGUGGAGGACUUUAACCGGAGAGUCCGGGAGAACCCCCGGGAUAUUCAGCUGUGGAUGGCCUUCGUUGCUUUUCAGGACGAGGUCAUGAAGAGCCCUGGCCUGUACGCCAUCGAGGAAGGAGAGCAGGACAGGCGGAGGCGGUCCCUGCGGCUCGUGCUGGAGAAGAAGCUGGCCGUCCUGGAGCGGGCCAUCGAGAGCAACCAGAGCAGCGUGGACCUGAAGCUCGCCAGGCUGGUGCUCUGCUCCGAGUUCUGGGAGCCCUCCGCGCUGGCCAAAGAGUGGCAGAAGCUCAUCUUCCUGCACCCCAACAACACGGCGCUUUGGCAGAAAUACCUGUUAUUUUGCCAGAGCCAGUUUAGCACCUUUACCGUCUCAAAAAUUCACAGUCUCUAUGGAAAGUGCCUGAGCACCCUGUCUGCCGUGAAGGACGGCAGCAUCCUGUCGCACCCCGCCUUGCCGGGCACUGAAGAGGCCAUGUUUGCUCUGUUUCUCCAGCAUUGCCACUUCCUGCGGCAGGCCGGUCACUCGGAGAAGGCGAUCUCUCUUUUCCAGGCCAUGGUCGACUUCACCUUCUUCAAACCCGACAGCGUGAAAGACCUGCCCACCAAAGGACAGGUGGAAUUCUUUGAGCCCUUCUGGGACAGCGGGGAGCCCCGGGCUGGGGAGAAGGGCGCCCGAGGCUGGAGAGCGUGGAUGCACCAGCAGGAGCGCGGCGGCUGGGUGGUCAUCAGUCCAGAUGACGACGAUGAUGAACCAGAAGAUGAGGACCAGGAAAUAAGGGAUAAGUCUCUGCCGCGGUGGCAGAUCUGGCUUGCCGCCGAGCGGUCCCGAGACCAGAGGCACUGGCGGCCGUGGCGCCCUGAUAAGACCAAGAAGCAAACCGAGGAAGACUGUGAGGACCCAGAGAGACAGGUGCUGUUUGAUGACAUCGCACAGUCCCUAAUCCGUCUCUCCAGCCAGGAUCUUCAGUUUGGGCUGGUUGCGGCCUUUCUGCAGUUCCUGGGCGUGCCUUCUGGCCUCAGCCCUCCCGCCUCCUGCCUCUACCUGGCCAUGGAUGAGAACAGCAUCUUCGAUAACGGACUUCACGAUGAAAUGCCACUGACUUUUCUCAACCUUUCCUUCUCCGGCGUCAGCUGUGUUGGCCGCUCGGACCCGCUGGGCUGCCGGCGCUGGACGCGGGGUCACAGCCGGGAGGGCGAGGAGUUCAUCCGCAACAUCUUCCACCUCGUGAUGCCUUUGUUUUCAGGCCGGGAGAGGUCUGAGCUCUGCUUCUCCUGGUUACGGUACGAGAUCGCGAAGGUCAUUUGGUGUCUGCACACUAAAAACAAGAAGAGGCUAAAGUCACAAGGAAAGAACUGCAAGAAACUAGCCAAAAAUCUCCUUAAGGAGCCCGAAAACCGCAACAACUUCUGCCUCUGGAGGCAGUAUGCUCAUCUGGAGUGGUUGCUUGGCAACACGGAGGAUGCCAGGAAGGUGUUCGAUGCGGCGCUCAGCAUGGCGGGGGGCGGCGGCCUGCAGGACCGCGAGCUGUGUGAGCUCGGCCUCCUGUACGCCGGGCUGGAGGCCGAGCUGCCGGCCGGGUCGAGGGGGGCCGCCGCGGCGCGAGCCGUGCACGUCCUGACCAGGCUGACCGACCAGGGGCCCUACAGGCCCUACUCCGGGCAGGUGCUGGCCGUUCACGUCUUGAAGGCUCGCAAGGCUUACGAGCACGUGCUGCAGGACUGUUUGGGUGACAGCUGUGUCCCCGGGCCAGCUCCCAGCGACUCCUCCCCCCGUUGGAUCAGCCUGGUGAAAUGCUUCAUGCUCUUCCAGUAUUUGACGGUGGGGAUCGAUGCAGCCGUGCGGGUGUACGAGCAGGUAUUUGCAAAACUGAAGGGCUCUGUCCCCCCCGGGGGCCGUGGCUCGGAGGACGGGCCCGGCGCCCAGAGCCCAAGCGGCGCGCUGGAGGCCGUUACGCUGAUGCACGCCAGCCUGCUCAGAUUCCACAUGAAGGUCAGCCCCUACCCCCUGGCCCCUCUGCGACAGGCGCUCUCUGAGGCUCUACAGUUGUACCCGGGCAACCAGGUGCUCUGGAGGGCGUACGUGCAGGUUCAGAGUAAGUCCCACACGGCCAGUAAGACCAGAAGAUUCUUCGACGCAGUUACCAGGUCUACCAAACUCUUGGAGCCUUGGUUGUUUGCGAUUGAGGCUGAGCAGAUGAGGAAGAGGCUGGUGGAAAGUGUUCAGAGGGUAGGCGGCAGAGAGGUCCGCGCCACCAUCCCCGAGACCGGCCUGGCGCAUCGCAUCCAGGCCCUGUUUGAAAAUGCGCUGCGGAGUGAGCACGGCAGCCAGUGCCCCUUACUGUGGAGGAUGUACUUGAAUUUUCUGGUCUCCUUGGGAAACAGAGAAAGGAGCAAAGGCGUGUUCUACAAAGCACUUCAGAGCUGUCCUUGGGCAAAGACGCUGUACCUGGAUGCCGUGGAGUACUUCCCCGAGGAGCUGCAGGAGGUGCUGGACCUGAUGACGGAGAAGGAGCUGCGGGUGCGCCUGCCGGCCGAGGAGCUGGAGCUGCUGCUGGAGGACUAGAGGGCAGGAGGGACGGGGCCGCCUCCCGGGCCCCCGCCGAGCCGGGACCGCAGGACGUGGACACGACCCCCUGGGGGAGCACUGUCCGAGGACCCCUGCAGGCAUCCGGCUGAGAAGUACAGAGUGGAGCCAGCGCCUUCCACCAACCUCACCCCUGCCUGUGAGACCAGCCACGGGUGUGCUCUCGCCAGGCAGUGGCCCAGGCCCAGACCAACCACAUUCUUGUUUUGACUUCUGAAGGUAUGAAUGGAAUGAAAUGUAAAUACCCACAUUCACACCACUUUCUUCUGAAAAGAACAUGCCUUGCAGUCCAUCAUUAUCACUGGACUGGGCAGAAAUUGCUUUAUCUUCCCUGAGGUCCUGCUCUAAGAGGAAUUUGGACAGCUGCUGACAAAAUACGAUCUCUAGAAUGUCUGAGGUUGUAUUUCUUUGGCAUCUCGUCCAGAGAAGCCUGUGACGUGGAACAGAAUCUGGCCUAGAAACCGACGGACAGUGGGCGGGGAGAAGGGCAGCAGGUCAGCGCACCCGAGGAAGGCAGCGGGCCAGCCCAGGGGAUGCUUGCCUCGACCCGCCCCACCUCCUUUCCGGCUUGAAAAGUUCAGGGGAGAGAAGUGCAGGAAAUGGAGGCAGAAAGGUGAUGGGGAGGAAGUUUCUGAACCUGUAAGCACAGGGAGGACGGGGCUGAUUCCUUUCAGGAACCUUUCUUAGCAUCACCAGUACCUUCCUGCCCCAAGAAUGGGUUCUAGGCCCCUCAUGCUCCACACACCUUCCAGAAGGGAAAGCUGGGUCUCUUUCCAGGGCCAGAGUCACACACUUGGCCUUCGCUGCUUACACAGCAGAGAACGCUGGCUUUGCGGUCAUGGCUUCUCAGUAGCCGCUGCCCAGCUCUGCCGCCGGCUCCAGGAGGUGUUCACAUCUACACUCCUGGUCGUCGCCUAGAAGCUUCCUAGCACCUUGGUCCACCUGCUUGUUGUUGCUGAGCAGCUGGUGUGGAGGCUCCAGAAACAGGAUGAACGGUCUGAGGAGGAGGUGGCUUUAUUGGGGGGAGGGCACUGCACGAGGCCAACAUGAGGGCAGCCCCAGGGGCACCCUACACAUCACUCAAAGAGGGGCAGGGGUGGAGGGGUAUAGGGAGGGGGGAGUGAUUUGCUAAGAAAGAUCAACUGGAACGUGGUUCCUUGGGCAGCUUCCCGAUGGUCUCCUUGAAGGCAAAUGUGGUUCUACAGGUAGAGCCCCUCAGGGGUGCCUUCUUGUUUUUUAUAAAGAACAUUUUCUUUAGA
This is an RNA transcript of Suricata suricatta (meerkat), 4859 nucleotides long. It is a transcript of the gene named NRDE-2, necessary for RNA interference, domain containing, with no coding region annotated. The record is from RefSeq and is a predicted model, not a curated record. NCBI's taxonomy places the organism in Eukaryota, Metazoa, Chordata, Mammalia, Carnivora, Herpestidae. The transcript is spliced from 15 exons.